RNAcentral lists this ribosomal RNA (254 nucleotides) under uncultured bacterium. Its description in RNAcentral is "partial 16S ribosomal RNA". It matches the Rfam family "Bacterial small subunit ribosomal RNA", at positions 524 to 776 of the family's 1533-position model. The record is from RNAcentral.
UACGUAGGGGGCGAGCGUUGUCCGGAUUUAUUGGGCGUAAAGAGCUCGUAGGCGGCUCGGUAAGUCAGGUGUGAAAACUCUAGGCUCAACCUAGAGACGCCACCUGAUACUGCCGUGGCUAGAGUCCGGUAGGGGAGCAUGGAAUUCCUGGUGUAGCGGUGAAAUGCGCAGAUAUCAGGAGGAACACCGAUGGCGAAGGCAGGUCUCUGGGCCGAUACUGACGCUGAGGAGCGAAAGCGUGGGGAGCGAACAGG